UACGAAGGGGGCAAGCGUUACUCGGAAUUACUGGGCGUAAAGCGUGCGUAGGCGGUUUGUUAAGUCUGCUGUGAAAGCCCCGGGCUCAACCUGGGAAUGGCAGUGGAUACUGGCAAGCUAGAGUGCGGUAGAGGGUAGUGGAAUUCCCGGUGUAGCGGUGAAAUGCGUAGAGAUCGGGAGGAACACCAGUGGCGAAGGCGGCUACCUGGACCAGCACUGACACUGAGGCACGAAAGCGUGGGGAGCAAACAGG
This 253-nucleotide ribosomal RNA is filed under the name uncultured bacterium. RNAcentral describes it as "partial 16S ribosomal RNA". It matches the Rfam family "Bacterial small subunit ribosomal RNA", at positions 524 to 776 of the family's 1533-position model. The record is from RNAcentral.